CGACACGACGUAGAUCGCCUUCGUGCAAGCUGACGCUUGCAUGGGCAUACCCCAUACACGUGACGGCUUUGGCGAGCGAACUCCAUUGUUGCUGAAAUGGUUCCCUGGUCCAGCAUGAACACUGGACAAAUCUUGUGACCCAACAAGUCGACAGCUGCCUAACAGAAGAAUAAGCCAGACAAGAUUUUGUAUCCAAAAACCUUUAUUAACAUUGCAGGUCAUUCUGCUUCAAACACCCUGGUGCAUGGAAGAAGGCAAUGCGUCAAGGGUGGUGCCUCCGGACGUGUUGCCGCAGGUGGUCCGUCCUGGUGAAAGCCUUCGUGCAGCGACCACACCUGAAGGGGCGCUCGCCCGUAUGACGACGGAGGUGAACUACCAGGUGGUCCUUACGUGAAAAGGAUGCCGAGCAGUGCGUGCAGCAAAAGGGUCGCUCUCCCGUAUGUGUGCGUUCGUGUCUCCCGAGGUCAAACUCGCUAGUGAAGCCGACUGGACAGUAGUGGCACCGAAAGGGACGCACUGAAAGGCUGGCUGCUGUGCUGCGGUGGCUUUAAAACGCACUCACUCUUUGUUCUUCCUGCGUAGGAGAGUGUGCACGUGCAGCCUGUGCCCCGUCCCUCAUGCCAUCGACGUUAGGCAGGUGCCAGGGAUUGGCUGGCGGCAAGGCAUCUGAAGACUGUGAUGCAUCAGAGUC
Molecule: long non-coding RNA, 691 nt
Organism: Rhipicephalus sanguineus (brown dog tick)
Lineage: Eukaryota; Metazoa; Arthropoda; Arachnida; Ixodida; Ixodidae
Exons: 4
Source: RefSeq, a predicted model, not a curated record